Molecule: transfer RNA, 88 nt
Filed under: Candidatus Bathyarchaeota archaeon
Lineage: Archaea; Thermoproteati; Candidatus Bathyarchaeota
Description: tRNA-Ala
Rfam family: tRNA
About the family: Transfer RNA (tRNA) molecules are approximately 80 nucleotides in length. Their secondary structure includes four short double-helical elements and three loops (D, anti-codon, and T loops).
Source: RNAcentral
GCGGGGGUACCAGAGCCAGGUCUAAUGGGCAGAAGGCGCAACCCUGUGGCGAAGGCCUUCGUGGGUUCGAAUCCCACCCCCCGCACCA